CAUGCCGCGUGUAUGAAGAAGGCCUUCGGGUUGUAAAGUACUUUCAGCGGGGAGGAAGGGAGUAAAGUUAAUACCUUUGCUCAUUGACGUUACCCGCAGAAGAAGCACCGGCUAACUCCGUGCCAGCACCUUCGGUGACUGAGCGGGCUGGCAAGGCGCAUA
This 162-nucleotide ribosomal RNA is filed under the name uncultured bacterium. Its description in RNAcentral is "partial 16S ribosomal RNA". It matches the Rfam family "Bacterial small subunit ribosomal RNA", at positions 393 to 539 of the family's 1533-position model. The record is from RNAcentral.